Molecule: long non-coding RNA, 5214 nt
Filed under: Setaria italica (foxtail millet)
Lineage: Eukaryota; Viridiplantae; Streptophyta; Magnoliopsida; Poales; Poaceae
Description: long non-coding RNA (SITA_LNC005536)
Source: RNAcentral
AAACUGCAAAACAAGUACAGGGGCUUCAGUUUAUGUAGUCUAGUAGUCAACAUGGACUAUGCAGGGUCUUCAGUAUGAUGAAAAGCAUAAAACUUUGCUUCAGUUAAUGUAAGCGUUAGUCAACAAAAAUUUCCAUAGUUUUUGAAAGGUCAACAAGCAUUUGUAACAUAAUUGAAAAAAUAAAUAUAAAAGGUGGAUUCCCUGAUGUUUUUGUUAAUUGUUUACUUUUCAGCCAUUAGAGAAAAGCUCAAGAACUCUGCUUAUAUCACUACCAAAUUUGCAAGGAAAACCCAAUUCUGAUGUACUCUGUUUUUUUUUUGGGGAAGACAUUUCUGACGUACUUAAUUGAUAACCAACAUUCAGUUCAAACCUCACAUUGGUUCUUUCAUCAAUUUACUGAGAAGUGACAUGCCCGUUCAAUCUGGAAUUAAGUUUGGCACAUCUAUUAUCCAAAAGUGUAGCUUGGGAUUCAAUUGCUAGGGAAGAGAAAUACAACCACCCAACCGAACAAGGCUAUACAGGCUGACAAUUAAAGUAACUAGAUUCACAAGAAAAAACAGAUUAAAUAAAUGUUCUAUUAAAAAGGAAACAGUAUAUAAAGGCGAUGAAUAAGAAGAAAAGCUAUUAAAACAAAACCUUGUGUAGUAGGAAAGUUUGUCCAUCCACCGAUACUGUUACAUCCUCUGCGACAUCUGAAAAUAUCCUGCACAACAGGCAAUGUUCCAGAAGUUUCAGGCAGCAAGAUCUGUAUUUGAAUUGGCAAUAUGUAAACUUGAAGCAUAGAGUUUUUAACAACAAUACACCACUUUGCCUUAGCUAUACACUCCUGAGAACACCAAAUGCUGAAGAAACAACUAAUGACAACAAAUCAUUCCAGUCAAUGCUGCAAGUACUUGAACUCUGCUUGUACCAUAAUACUGUUGAUGAAUUUCUCAAGAAACUUCUUAAAUCUUGUGACUUUCUAGGGAGCACAAAAGAUUAGGAAUGCAUCUGAUGACCCUUCGAGGAGCAAAAGCAUUUUCAGAGUAGCAGUUUUGUGAGUCCUUCCAAAACCUUCAACCGGUUCAACCCUGAAGAUGGCAUUUUGCCUCCUCCCCGUAGUUCCGUUCCGGCGUUCCCCUGAAUGCGUCGUGUUCGUAGAAACAAACUGGUGGGUGGUGGCGCUAGGGCGGCGUCCAAAUCAGUUGAGAUUUCAGAAUGGAAUACAGACUUGAGCGAUCGCAGCGAAAACCAAAAAUCUCAAACAAGAAAAGCCGCCGCCGCCGCAAAUGGUGAGGUGAUCUAAGACUAUGAAGGCAUUGCAAUCAACAUGCAAAGCCGAUUGAACUCAGGAAGGAAAAAGUGGAAAAUGGAGCAGGAGAUGGGAAUCCUCACCUCCUAUGGCUGAUGGGGUUGCGGAAGCGCGGGGACGUCGUGGUGGUAGCGAAGGGAAACACGGCGUUGUCGCUUCCCAUCCCCAUUGCUUUGCCGCCGAUUCUUCUUCCUUCUCUUCCUCUCCCUCCCUCCCUCUCUCUCUCUGAAAUGUGAGCGAUGUGGAGGAGAAGAGGACGAGGAGCAAGAAUAGUCGGCUGGUCGUCGGCGCGUGGCAUUAACAAAUUCUCAAAGAAAAGAAAGCAGCAAGGUGAGACGACACGACAGAGCAUUCCUGUGUCUUGAUGUGGGUGGAUUAGCUGAGGAUGGAACAGAGAAAAGUGACUCGACGGAGGAAUAGUUGGGUGACUAGGGAACAACCCCUGCUCCACUGUCAGCUUGUGGCUGCUUCAUCAUUGAAGCCUUCAAAGGGGUCUAGAUCUUGUGUGGCUGCUUGCUUCGCGUGAAUUAUGGAAACACAGUAGUUCUGCAGAAACUGUUUAAAUUCUCCGAGAUUCCUAAUGAAUCAUACACUUUAGGAAGAGUGUUUGGUGUAAUCACUUUCUUACCACUGUACUCCCUCCGUCUAUGUUUACAAGGUAUAUACUUCCUCCAUCUAUAUUUACGAGACAUAAUAUGAUUUGGCAAGAUUUUCCAAAUAACACUUUGACUAUUCAUUUAUCUCAUAUUAUAUUAUUUAUGGCUAUAAACUUAUAAUACAAAUUCAACUAUAUAAAAUUUACAUUAUAAAAAUAAAAAUUUAAUAGUCAAACUAUUAAUAAAAGGUUGUAAAGUUUGAAUUUUGAUAUGCGUGUGCGCCUUAUUGGGAUCGAGUAUCGAACAAUGAGGCUCACGGUUCUCGGUCAUGCCAUCGGUUCAAAGUGGUUAAAUAAAAAUAUAUAUUUGACACUAAUCAAAAGCGAAUAUAAGGUUGGGUGGUGUGUUAGAAAGUCGCAAAGUCCAAGUUUUGAAUGAAUACCGUAUUCGAUCUCUGCAAUUUUUAUUUGAUUUGAGAAAACCAAUGUUUUAAUUUAUCACCAGUCAUUUCUCGCAUAUAAGAAUACGGAAACAAACACCAGAAUAUAAAUAUAGCUGGCACUAAAUCCACGAAAGCAUGCAAAACAAAUAAAGUAGCGGUAGUAGUAGUAUAUUGUGCUAGAGAGUAGCUAGGGACUAUGGAGUCGGGUAGAAGGCUGGCUGUCUGUCGGUGAAGAAAGGAAAUGAUGGUGAAGCAUGUUGGCUGGCUGCUUGCCCACCCAUCGAGGCCGAGAGUGAGAGGACAGUGGUACGCUUUUCCGCUUUCACUUUAGCAGGCCUGCCAUCACCAAGAGCUAGCACCCGCGAGAGGUGAGGUGCCUUUCAUCAGCUUUUGCGGUUUGGCUAGAGGAAGAGCAUAGUGCAGUGCUCGUGAGUAAUCAUUCCAUUUACAAAAUAUCAUAUAAAAUGCCGUAUAAUUUGAAACGGAGGGAAUCCUUGAGCAUUGUAUAACGAGUAGGCAUAUGGCUUGCUUUGCUUGCCAUAGUUGUAGUAGACCACGAGGUAACGUUAGACGACUUGCGUUAGCUGCUUUUGUCAACCGUACGUUGCAUUUUGAUCAGCAUCGAUGCGCAACGACUUUUGCUGGUGGUAGGAAAGGGCAGGGAUAACAUGAUGAUCAAGGGCAGGCAACGUGACAUGAUCAACGGCCCGGCACAGAACUCGAGAAAGGGUAGUGAGUGCUGGAGAAGAGGCGCGCUUUUAAUUUUCUCCUUGCUGUCCCCAUCGCCCAUCGAUCGGCAUCUCCUCGCCCCCUCGCGCCCAACGAACAGUUCUUGCAGUCAAUGUGAAUGCAAAUCUCUCCGGUUGCUUUCAGCCUUCAACCCUUUUGAUCUCGUUGUCGCCGUCAAGAUUCUCGGUUACCGAUUAUGUGCAGGGGCUUCAGUUUAUGCAGGGGUGUUUGGAUACUACGUGCUAAACUUUAGUAGUGUCAUAUCUAUUGGGGGAAAUAUUAACGACCUUCUUAUGUCCCUUAAAACAACAAUUAUGAAGACCCAGGCCCACCAGCGGUAAUGACGAUCACCGUCGACCCGGCAUGGGCAAGGAGCACCUCACUCCGUCUCGCCCGACCCCUCGAUGGCAAAACUCUGUCUCGCCCGACUCACGGUCCCAGGGUCGGGUACACCCGACCCCUCGCCACAAGGCUCCGCCUCGUCCGACCCCGGGCGUAGGGGGUUGGACUCAUCCGAGCCCACAAGACAAGGGUCCGCCUCGGGCGCAGACCGGCAGACAAGGGCGCGGAUCUCGUGGGCCCCCACCGAUCUUGCCAUAAAUGCGCCGCGGCUCUGGCGCGGAGAAAGGUGCCCGCGCCCCUCGACGUGACCCGCCACAAGUACCCGGUCGGAACACUGUAGCCACGACCGCACAGGCUACAGUGGUCGCGGCUCCCCCUGAUUCGCCAUAGGGCACUCAUUGCAUGCGCCGCCCGGCACAAGAGGGAGCGCCGUCCGUUCUCGUGCUCGGCCUAUCCGGCGAUAGGUACGCGACGUCCGUGUUCCACGGGUCGUAAGCAGGACAACAGGGGUCAACCGUCUCCCCCAACGUGCACAGUGGCCACGGCCGAACACCAUCAUCAUGCUCGGCGGCGAUGGUCCCCCGAAGGAUCGUCGACAGGAUCCGGCGACAGCCGCCCUCCUCCGAUGGCCACGCUGACAGGAGCCGAAGGCCGGAGCAGGAGGCGGCGAUCUGGGGACUUGGUCCUUCUCCUCGUAUUUUACUUUACUUAGCUUAUCUCUUUUUUACUUCUCCACACACCUGGCUGACCUGUAACCCCGGUACCCUCCUUGUGCUAUAAAAGGAGAACCAGGGGCCCCGAGACCGAAAAAAAGAGCCAACAGAACCCACACACUCACCUCACAAGCAUCAGUGCAUACCCAAGAGACUUGGGACCGGCUCCCUCUCUUACCUGUUUGUAACCCCUACUACAGACCACGCGUGAGUAACACGAGCAGCUCCUCAUACUAGACGUAGGGCUUUCCUUGCCCGAACCAGUCUAACCCCGUGUCCUCUCACGCCACCAUCCGAAACCUUACGCGCAUAAAAGAAAUUUACUAGCUGUAGUCUUGAUCCGCUAAUCUCGACAACGACAACAUCGGAUGUUCAGAUGCUAAUUAGGAGGACUAAAUAUGAGCUAAUUAUAAAACUAAUUACAUAGAUGGAGUCUAAUUCGCGAGAUGAAUCUCUUAAGUCUAAUUAAUCCAUUAUUAGCAAAUGGUUACUGUAGCACCAUAUUGUCAAAUCAUGAACUAAUUAGGCUUAAUAGAUUCGUCUCGCGAAUUAGACUCCAUCUGUGCAAUUAGUUUUGUAAUUAACAUAUGUUUAAUACUCCUAAUUAGUAUCCAAACAUCCGAUGUGAUAGGUGCUAAACUUUAGCAGGUGGUAUCCAAACACCCCCUGGUAGUCAACAUGGACUAUGCGGGGGCUUCAGUAUGAUGAAAAGCAUAAACUUUGCUUCAGUUAACGUAAGCAUUUGUCAACAAAAAUUUCCAUAGAUUUUGAAAGGUCAACAAGCAUUUGUAGCAUAAUUGACAAAAUAAAUAUAAAAGGUGGAUUCCCUGAUGUUUUUGUUAAUUGUUUACUUUUCAGCCAUUAGAGAAAAGCUCAAGAACUCUGCUUAUAUCACUACCAAAUUUGCAAGGAAAACCCAAUUCUGAUGUACUCUGUUUUUUUUUUUGGCAAGACAUUUCUGACGUACUUAAUUGAUAACCAACAUUCAGUUCAAACCUCACAUUGGUUCUUUCAUCAAUUUACUGAGAAGUGACAUGCCCGUUCAAUCUGGAAUUAAGUUUGGCACAUCUAUUAUCCAAAAGUGUAGCUUGGGAUUCAAUU